UUGUUUAUUAUACUUUUCACUCAUCAUGAAAAUCAUUCUAUUAUUUGCUUCAAAUGUAACAAAGUAGGCCAUAGAAUUUUUGAAUGUAAUAUUAUUAGAAAUGGUCAUAUUUUGGUCAAAUAAAUUUGGAUUCCAAAAGAAAUUGUGUACAUUAACUCCUAUAGAUCCAAUAUGGAUGAGUACCAAAAUUUAGAAAGUAAUUUUGUAGAUAUACCAAGCAACC
RNAcentral lists this long non-coding RNA (223 nucleotides) under Elaeis guineensis (African oil palm). RNAcentral's name for it is "long non-coding RNA (EGUI_LNC007444)". Lineage: Eukaryota; Viridiplantae; Streptophyta; Magnoliopsida; Arecales; Arecaceae. The record is from RNAcentral.